This 467-nucleotide ribosomal RNA is filed under the name uncultured bacterium. RNAcentral describes it as "partial 16S ribosomal RNA". It matches the Rfam family "Bacterial small subunit ribosomal RNA", at positions 28 to 523 of the family's 1533-position model. The record is from RNAcentral.
GAUGAAUGCUGGCGGCGUGCCUAACACAUGCAAGUCGAGCGGUAACAGGUCUAGUUUACUAGAUGCUGACGAGCGGCGGACGGCUGAGUAACGCGUGGGAACGUGCCCCAAAGUGAGGAAGAACUGCCCGAAAGGGUGGCUAAUGCCGCAUAUGAUCUUCGGAUUAAAGGAUUUAUCCGCUUUGGGAGCGGCCCGAGUUAGAUUAGGUAGUUGGUGGGGUAAUAGCCUACCAAGCCGACGAUCUAUAGCUGGUCUGAGAGGAUGAUCAGCCAGACUGGGACUGAGACACGGCCCAGACUCCUACGGGAGGCAGCAGUGAGGAAUCUUCCACAAUGGGCGAAAGCCUGAUGGAGCAACGCCGCGUGAAGGAUGAAGGCCCUCGGGUUGUAAACUUCUUUUAUAAGUGAAGAAUAUGACGGUAACUUAUGAAUAAGCACCGGCUAACUACGUGCCAGCAGCCGCCGCAG